This is a long non-coding RNA of Daphnia pulex (common water flea), 1225 nucleotides long. RefSeq lists it as uncharacterized. The transcript is spliced from 5 exons. NCBI's taxonomy places the organism in Eukaryota, Metazoa, Arthropoda, Branchiopoda, Diplostraca, Daphniidae. The record is from RefSeq and is a predicted model, not a curated record.
CACCUGAUCCUUGAGAAAGUGGUCAUCCAGAAAGUCGCACAGAUGAGGAUCGCUGUGCUUGCUACCCAUGGCGUGCAAGUCCAGCAGCGACUUUAAUACGAAAAUCAGUUCACAACCGACGAUAAUUUUAAUUGAGUGCAAACUCGAUGGCAGUCAAAGGGGAGGCCCAUUCUUGCUCGGCAGGAGAAGCCACCCCAGUGAAAAUAACUCGUCCUCCUCGACGAUUCUGGUACUUGAUGAGCUUCCGAACAUGGCCACUUUCUUCUUCAGCUGACUCUUGAAAGUAUUUGGAGAAGCCGAUCAUGGCUACGUCAUCGCGAUCGUAAAAGGCGCUCUAAAUUCAAACGUUGUAUAAGGGAAAACCCUGUGGCAGUAGAUCCGGGAAGAGGAGUUCCUUCGCUUGCCUUAUUACUUCAUGGGAAAAUCCUUUGCAGAUUUUGUGCAGUUCUAUACUCCAGCCGCGUGACUAUUCGUCAUUUUAUUUUUCCAACUGACUGGCAGUGCUUUCCCCCGAGAGAACACAUGCCUGUCCUACCUCAUAAUAAAAGGUUUUCAGGUGAGAGUCCUUAUUUGACUUCCUGGACAUGUCUUGUCGCUUAAAAUGGACGGAGUUUCUCCUAUCAGCACCGCUUCCGCCGCUGGAUCACUUGGCGCUCGAAAUUUGUGUGACAGUUGGGAAAUGGACGUUGAGCUUGGGUGUGACGAUUGAAAGUUCCCACCAGGAUUAUCCUCAAAAGAUUAUGAUGGAUUAUGAAAUGGAUCAACUCGUCAAACAACCUCCGCCUCCAACCAUGGCAUAACCUAAGCCCAGUCUAAUCCCAUAAUCCCCCGACGCCACAUUUUGAAAGAGAUGGAUAAUCCAUUUGCGGAUGUGGCGGCAGGAAGGGUUUGACAGGAUUUCUUCAGCUACUCCGACCAAUGGAAAGAAAGUCACUUUGACGAAACUAAAACGGUCGGAAAAAAGUAAAACCAAACAUCCACACCCACACCCACACAACAACUACUGCUACUACUACUACUCCGUUCUCUGUCAUCUGGACAUCUCGCUACUUCCCAAAAGAUUACUAUCCAGUGGGUCCCGCUUUGAAAUCAUCUUCCGGAUCGGGUCGUCAGUGCCACUUUUACGACGAAAUCCAGCUGGCGCUACUGGAUGCGGAGUUCAUCAGUGAUUCGUUUCCUAAUCGAGAAAGUCGUCGUCGCAUCGCCCAGUAGAUUGGCGUCUCUG